GAUCCUGGCUCAGAUUGAACGCUGGCGGCAUGCCUUACACAUGCAAGUCGAACGGCAGCACGGGAGCAAUCCUGGUGGCGAGUGGCGAACGGGUGAGUAAUAUAUCGGAACGUGCCCAGUCGUGGGGGAUAACGCAGCGAAAGCUGUGCUAAUACCGCAUACGAUCUCUGGAUGAAAGCGGGGGACUCGUAAGAGCCUCGCGCGAUUGGAGCGGCCGAUAUCAGAUUAGCUAGUUGGUGGGGUAAAGGCCCACCAAGGCGACGAUCUGUAGCUGGUCUGAGAGGACGACCAGCCACACUGGAACUGAGACACGGUCCAGACUCCUACGGGAGGCAGCAGUGGGGAAUUUUGGACAAUGGGCGCAAGCCUGAUCCAGCAAUGCCGCGUGCAGGAUGAAGGCCUUCGGGUUGUAAACUGCUUUUGUACGGAACGAAAAGGUCUGCCUUAAUACGGUGGGCCCAUGACGGUACCGUAAGAAUAAGCACCGGCUAACUACGUGCCAGCAGCCGCGGUAAUACGUAGGGUGCGAGCGUUAAUCGGAAUUACUGGGCGUAAAGCGUGCGCAGGCGGUUAUAUAAGACAGAUGUGAAAUCCCCGGGCUCAACCUGGGACCUGCAUUUGUGACUGUAUAGCUAGAGUACG
RNAcentral lists this ribosomal RNA (642 nucleotides) under uncultured bacterium. RNAcentral describes it as "bacterial SSU rRNA". It matches the Rfam family "Bacterial small subunit ribosomal RNA", at positions 15 to 650 of the family's 1533-position model. The record is from RNAcentral.